This 253-nucleotide ribosomal RNA is filed under the name uncultured bacterium. RNAcentral describes it as "partial 16S ribosomal RNA". It matches the Rfam family "Bacterial small subunit ribosomal RNA", at positions 524 to 776 of the family's 1533-position model. The record is from RNAcentral.
UACGUAGGGUGCGAGCGUUGUCCGGAAUUAUUGGGCGUAAAGAGCUCGUAGGCGGUUUGUCACGUCUGCUGUGAAAUCCCGAGGCUCAACCUCGGGCCUGCAGUGGGUACGGGCAGACUGGAGUGCGGUAGGGGAGAAUGGAAUUCCUGGUGUAGCGGUGGAAUGCGCAGAUAUCAGGAGGAACACCGAUGGCGAAGGCAGAUCUCUGGGCCGUAACUGACGCUGAGGAGCGAAAGCGUGGGGAGCAAACAGG